This 443-nucleotide ribosomal RNA is filed under the name uncultured bacterium. Its description in RNAcentral is "bacterial SSU rRNA". It matches the Rfam family "Bacterial small subunit ribosomal RNA", at positions 340 to 774 of the family's 1533-position model. The record is from RNAcentral.
UACGGAAGGCAGCAGUGGGGAAUAUUGCACAAUGGGCGCAAGCCUGAUGCAGCCAUGCCGCGUGUAUGAAGAAGGCCUUCGGGUUGUAAAGUACUUUCAGUCGUGAAGGAAGGUGUUAAGGUUAAUAACCUUAGCAAUUGACGUUAGCGACAGAAGAAGCACCGGCUAACUCCGUGCCAGCAGCCGCGGUAAUACGGAGGGUGCGAGCGUUAAUCGGAAUUACUGGGCGUAAAGGGCACGCAGGCGGUUAAUUAAGUUGGAUGUGAAAUCCCCGGGCUUAACCUGGGAAUGGCAUUCAAGACUGGUUAGCUAGAGUCUUGUAGAGGGGGUUAGAAGUUCCAUGUGUAGCGGUGAAAUGCGUAGAGAUGUGGAGGAAUACCGGUGGCGAAGGCGGCCCCUGGACAAAGACUGACGCUCAUGUGCGAAAGCGUGGGGAGCAAACC